RNAcentral lists this ribosomal RNA (668 nucleotides) under uncultured Bacteroidales bacterium. Its description in RNAcentral is "bacterial SSU rRNA". It matches the Rfam family "Bacterial small subunit ribosomal RNA", at positions 69 to 727 of the family's 1533-position model. The record is from RNAcentral. Lineage: Bacteria; Pseudomonadati; Bacteroidota; Bacteroidia; Bacteroidales.
GCAUGGUCUUAGCUUGCUAAGGCUGAUGGCGACCGGCGCACGGGUGAGUAACACGUAUCCAACCUGCCGUCUACUCUUGGCCAGCCUUCUGAAAGGAAGAUUAAUCCAGGAUGGCAUCAUGAGUUCACAUGUCCGCAUGAUUAAAGGUAUUUUCCGGUAGACGAUGGGGAUGCGUUCCAUUAGAUAGUAGGCGGGGUAACGGCCCACCUAGUCAACGAUGGAUAGGGGUUCUGAGAGGAAGGUCCCCCACAUUGGAACUGAGACACGGUCCAAACUCCUACGGGAGGCAGCAGUGAGGAAUAUUGGUCAAUGGGCGAUGGCCUGAACCAGCCAAGUAGCGUGAAGGAUGACUGCCCUAUGGGUUGUAAACUUCUUUUAUAAAGGAAUAAAGUCGGGUAUGCAUACCCGUUUGCAUGUACUUUAUGAAUAAGGAUCGGCUAACUCCGUGCCAGCAGCCGCGGUAAUACGGAGGAUCCGAGCGUUAUCCGGAUUUAUUGGGUUUAAAGGGAGCGUAGAUGGAUGUUUAAGUCAGUUGUGAAAGUUUGCGGCUCAACCGUAAAAUUGCAGUUGAUACUGGAUGUCUUGAGUGCAGUUGAGGCAGGCGGAAUUCGUGGUGUAGCGGUGAAAUGCUUAGAUAUCACGAAGAACUCCGAUUGCGAAGGCAGCCU